RNAcentral lists this antisense RNA (85 nucleotides) under Lactococcus lactis subsp. lactis bv. diacetylactis. Its description in RNAcentral is "ctRNA". It matches the Rfam family "ctRNA". Rfam says of the family: Rolling circle replication plasmids contain a number of mechanisms to maintain a low copy number. One of these methods is to transcribe a small RNA called ctRNA (for counter-transcribed RNA) than is transcribed on the opposite strand to RepB the replication initiation protein. ctRNA binds to the mRNA of repB and causes translational inhibition. The record is from Rfam by way of RNAcentral. Lineage: Bacteria; Bacillati; Bacillota; Bacilli; Lactobacillales; Streptococcaceae.
UGAGAAGCCGCUCCUUAUGAGUAAUUUUGGCUAAGCAUAGAGAAGUCAUUUCGUCGUGAAUUUUCUCUAUGCUUUUAUUAUAUCA